This 1533-nucleotide ribosomal RNA is filed under the name uncultured bacterium. Its description in RNAcentral is "bacterial SSU rRNA". It matches the Rfam family "Bacterial small subunit ribosomal RNA". The record is from RNAcentral.
AGAGUUUGAUCCUGGCUCAGAACGAACGCUGGCGGCGUGGAUAAGACAUGCAAGUUGUGCGGGGGUUGAACGGUAGCAAUACUGGACAACCCUAGCAGCGAAAGGGUGAGUAGCAUGUGGGCAAUUUGCCGUGAAGCCCGGGAUAACCCGCCGAAAGGCGGGCUAAUACCGGAUGUGACCGCAUCGGGGCAUCCCGGAGCGGUUGAAGGCGGGGACCUUCGGGCCUGCCACUUCUCGAUAAGCCCGCACUCUAUCAGCUAGUUGGUGAGGUAACGGCUCACCAAGGCGAUGACGGAUAGCUGGUCUGAGAGGACGAUCAGCCACACUGGAACUGAGACACGGUCCAGACACCUACGGGUGGCAGCAGUCGAGAAUCAUUCACAAUGGGCGCAAGCCUGAUGGUGCGACGCCGCGUGGGGGAUGAAGGCCUUCGGGUCGUAAACCCCUGUCAUCCGCGAACAAACCUUUUCGGUUAACACCCGGGAAGCUGAUAGUAGCGGAAGAGGAAGGGACGGCUAACUCUGUGCCAGCAGCCGCGGUAAUACAGAGGUCCCGAGCGUUGUUCGGAUUUACUGGGCGUAAAGGGUGCGUAGGUGGCUGGGCAAGUUUGAUGUGAAAGCUCCGGGCUCAACCCGGAAAAUGCAUUGAAAACUGCCCGGCUUGAGGAUCGGAGAGGAGACUGGAAUUCUCGGUGUAGCAGUGAAAUGCGUAGAUAUCGAGAGGAACACCAGUGGCGAAGGCGGGUCUCUGGACGAUUCCUGACACUGAGGCACGAAAGCCAGGGGAGCAAACAGGAUUAGAUACCCUGGUAGUCCUGGCUGUAAACGGUGCACGCUUGCUAUGAGCGGAAUCGACCCCGCUCGUGGCGAAGCUAACGCGUUAAGCGUGCCGCCUGGGGAGUACGGUCGCAAGAUUAAAACUCAAAGAAAUUGACGGGGGCCUGCACAAGCGGUGGAGUAUGUGGCUUAAUUCGAUGCAACGCGAAGAACCUUACCUGGCCUUGACAUGCAAGUGGUAGGAGCCCGAAAGGGUGACGACCCCGCAAGGGGAGCUUGCACAGGUGCUGCAUGGCUGUCGUCAGCUCGUGUCGUGAGAUGUUGGGUUAAGUCCCGCAACGAGCGCAACCCUCAUGUCCUGUUGCCCCUUGGGCGAGAGCCCGAAGCACUCUGGACAGACUGCCUCAUCUAAAUGAGGAGGAAGGUGGGGAUGACGUCAAGUCAGUAUGGCCCUUACGGCCAGGGCUGCACACGUACUACAAUGCCCGGUACAGAGGGAAGCCAAACCGCAAGGUGGAGCGAAUCCCGAAAAGCCGGGCCCAGUUCAGAUUGGAGUCUGCAACUCGACUCCAUGAAGCCGGAAUCGCUAGUAAUGGCGCAUCAGCUACGGCGCCGUGAAUACGUUCCCAGGCCUUGUACACACCGCCCGUCACAUCAUGAAAGCCGGUUGUACCCGAAGUCGCCGUGUUAACCGCAAGGAGACAGGUGCCGAAGGUAUGGCUGGUAAUUGGGAUGAAGUCGUAACAAGGUAACCGUA